RNAcentral lists this long non-coding RNA (1270 nucleotides) under Homo sapiens (human). Its description in RNAcentral is "HSALNT0041922". Lineage: Eukaryota; Metazoa; Chordata; Mammalia; Primates; Hominidae. The record is from RNAcentral.
GCAGAGAGGCAAAUGAUUAUGGGAUCAUUUAUUUAUAUUAUUAUGGCACAAUAGAAGUCACUUUGGUCCUUGAAUGUGUUCCAGUGACUCAAGAUAUUUUUUCCGAUGUUUUCUGACCUCUGCUCCUUUUCAAAUUCUCCCAUCUCUGAUAAAUUAGCUUCAAAACCACAGAAAAACCACAGCUGUGUUUGUUCAUCAGGGGCAUGAAGAAUGAAAGUAACUGUUUUCAUGAGGAAUCUUCAAAGGAGGUUCAGUGUGAAUGAUGAGGUAGAGUGGCUCCCUCUUCUCUCCAGCUCUUCAGUAACAUCUUACAUGGGCUACUAAAAGAAUGCCUGGCAGAGACACCCCAUUUCUCAAAUGACUCACUGGAUACACACUCUGCCGGAAGCUCUGUAUGCAUACCACAGUGCAAUUGAUAAUGUUUCAGACCAGUAACUCAGUACAGACUUCAAAAGUAGUGCAUGUGAUGUUAUUUUGUGUUAUUUUAUGGAUCCGUUGGGAAUGUGAUCAAAACAGAUAUGUCACGAAAAAAAUAGUUCAUUUUUUACAACAUUGAUUUUGUAACCAGUGAGUGAUUUUCAUCUGAGAAGAGAAUCAUCUGAAGAAAUAAGGCCUAGACUGACACCAUGAGGUUGGACUUUGGACCAUAUGUGUUUAGUCUGUUUGCUGUGUUGGAGGAAAUAUGGGAAAUCGCCAUGACCCUCUCUAGGUAUAGGAGAAGGGAAUGCAUGCUGGCAUAAUACCAAGCCAAAAGGUGAAACACAGACAAUAGUUGUGAAAUGAUAAAGGAGGGUGAUAGGAUAGAAAGGUGACUAUGAACCUGAACGUCAAAGUUCUUGCCAGAUUUUGUGCACUGUGAAUUGGGACAAGGACUCAGAUUCUGUGAUCCCAGUUUCACGUCUGCUAACUUGAGGCUGGAUUUCGACCAAACAUCUCAAAAUUUCCUUAUAGCUCUUAAAUGCUCAGAUUCUCUAACCCAGGUGUGUGUGUAUGUGUGUAUGUGUACAUAUGUGUAUGUGUAUGUGUGUGUUCUAAACUGUCUUGAAUUAUAAUUAAAUGGAAAGCAAGUUUACAAGCAAUUUACACAGAAAAUCAAAUGAUUCAUUUACAUGGGGUAAUAAAGUAGGUUGGCAAAGGAAUUUUUCAAAACACUAAGUAUUUGAAAUUCUGUUCUAAGGGUGAACAGAUGCACACUUACUACCACAAUACCUUUUGCAUCUUUUAUUUAAGUAAAAAGGAUCCUUGAAAUUUUAGUGAUUCUCGUGUGCAC